UUUCCAGGGUUCUUUGCAAGUUUUUUGCACAAGGGGCUAUCUAAAAGGGGAGCAUUGUGAGUUCUUGCAUGAAUUGAGAGGCCUCAACUACUGGAACUACUGUCAAACAAAGUGCUAAUGACUCUAAAGAUGAGACCAGUUCUGAAGAUGAAAGUUCUGAUGAUGAGCCAUCUAAAGCUGAGUGUUAAGAAGUCUUCUACUGGGAAGGAGAGUAGUUCUGAUGAUUCCUCAUCAGAGGAGUCUAGUGAUGAAGAAGAGGAUGCGCCUUCAAAGACUCCAAAGUAGGUAAUUAGUUGUGUGUACAAAUCUGUUGCAGGCUCUUGAACUUAAUGGUCAACAGUGGUUGGGCCAAGAAGUGAAGCUUUACCUUGCUAAAGAGAGAGGAGCUUAUACUCUGAAUAGUGGGUAAGUCAUCUUCCCCUAAAAUUAGAUUUAUGGAUUGUGAGUUAAACAUAAUUAUAAUUAUUAUUAUUUUUUAAAUUUUUUG
Molecule: long non-coding RNA, 487 nt
Organism: Ipomoea triloba (trilobed morning glory)
Lineage: Eukaryota; Viridiplantae; Streptophyta; Magnoliopsida; Solanales; Convolvulaceae
Exons: 3
Source: RefSeq, a predicted model, not a curated record